This 349-nucleotide long non-coding RNA is filed under the name Sinocyclocheilus anshuiensis. Its description in RNAcentral is "lncRNA (ENSSANG00000020628.1)". Lineage: Eukaryota; Metazoa; Chordata; Actinopteri; Cypriniformes; Cyprinidae. The record is from RNAcentral.
UUAACCUUUUGUUGUAUCUUCACAGAUCGCUGUGCCUGUGCUGAAGGGCUUCACACCCUGCAAUACCGUCCCGCAGCAGCUUUUCCCGUGUUGCUAUGAGCUCACCGUGCAACCACAUUGUUGCAGUAGCGUACCGCACAUCACGCUAUGGACAGCUGGGCAUCAGUGCAGUUCCUGUUCUGUACUGAAAGGAAGCAGACUUGGCACAGACUCAGAACAAUGGUGUGAAAUACAUAGUCUCACCCCCCAGCGGUGCAAGAGAAGCGGUAUACAAAAGGAGCGCACAUUAGCAUAGAAGACCUUGGGGCGGAAUUCAGAGGAUGACAUGUUGAAAAUUACAGAGCUCCGG